Molecule: ribosomal RNA, 463 nt
Filed under: uncultured bacterium
Lineage: Bacteria
Description: partial 16S ribosomal RNA
Rfam family: Bacterial small subunit ribosomal RNA
Source: RNAcentral
GACGAACGCUGGCGGCGUGCUUAACACAUGCAAGUCGAACGGAAAGGCCUUUUCGGCGGUACUCGAGUGGCGAACGGGUGAGUAACACGUGGGUGAUCUGCCCUGCACUCUGGGAUAAGCCUGGGAAACUGGGUCUAAUACCGGAUAGGACCGCACUUUAGUGUGUGUGGUGGAAAGUUUUUUCGGUGUAGGAUGAGCCCGCGGCCUAUCAGCUUGUUGGUGGGGUAAUGGCCUACCAAGGCGGCGACGGGUAGCCGGACUGAGAGGUUGGUCGGCCACAUUGGGACUGAGAUACGGCCCAGACUCCUACGGGAGGCAGCAGUGGGGAAUAUUGCACAAUGGGCGCAAGCCUGAUGCAGCGACGCCGCGUGGGGGAUGACGGCCUUCGGGUUGUAAACUCCUUUCGCCAGGGACGAAGCGUUUUGUGACGGUACCUGGAGAAGGAGCACCGGCUAACUACGUG